This 433-nucleotide ribosomal RNA is filed under the name uncultured bacterium. RNAcentral's name for it is "partial 16S ribosomal RNA". It matches the Rfam family "Bacterial small subunit ribosomal RNA", at positions 29 to 507 of the family's 1533-position model. The record is from RNAcentral.
AACGAACGCUGGCGGCAUGCCUAACACAUGCAAGUCGAACGAAUCCUUCGGGUCUAGUGGCUCACGGGUGCGUAACGCGUGGGAACCUGCCCUUAGGUUCGGAAUAACUCCCCGUAAGGGGUGCUAAUACCGGUUAAUGUCUUCGGACCAAAGAUUUAUCGCCUUUGGAUGGGCCCGCGUUGGAUUAGCUAGUUGGUAGGGUAAAAGCCUACCAAGGCGACGAUCCAUAGCUGGUCUGAGAGGAUGAUCAGCCACACUGGGACUGAGACACGACCCAGACUCCUACGGGAGGCAGCAGUGGGGAAUAUUGGACAAUGGGCGAAAGCCUGAUCCAGCAAUGCCGCGUGAGUGAUGAAGGCCUUAGGGUUGUAAAGCUCUUUUACCCGGGAUGAUAAUGACAGUACCGGGAGAAUAAGCGCCGGCUAACUCCGUG